GACGAACGCUGGCGGCGUGCUUAACACAUGCAAGUCGAACGCAAAGGCUUGGUGCUUGCGCGGUGCGCGUGAGUGGCGCACGGGUGAGUAACACGUGUAUACCCUCCCCUUCACUCUGAGAUAAUCAGGGGAAACGGGCUCUAAUCCUGGAUACGACAUGUCACCGCAGUGUGGUGUGGGGAGAUUCUGUUAGUGGUUUUGGAUUGGCUGACGGCCUAGCAGCUUGUUGGGUGGUUACUGGCCAACGAAGGCGACGACGGGUAGCCGGCCUGAGAGGGUGACCGGCCACAUGGGGACUGAGACACGGCCCAGACUCCUACGGGAGGCAGCAGUGGGGAAUAUUGCACAAUGGGCGGAAGCCUGAUGCAGCGACGCCGCGUGCGGGAUGACGGCCUUCGGGUUGUAAACCGCUUUCGGCUGGGAAGAAGCGAGAGUGACGGUACGGGGAGAAGAAGCGCCGGCUAACUACGUG
This 472-nucleotide ribosomal RNA is filed under the name uncultured bacterium. RNAcentral describes it as "partial 16S ribosomal RNA". It matches the Rfam family "Bacterial small subunit ribosomal RNA", at positions 28 to 507 of the family's 1533-position model. The record is from RNAcentral.